This 83-nucleotide transfer RNA is filed under the name Plocamiocolax pulvinatus. Its description in RNAcentral is "Plocamiocolax pulvinata tRNA-Leu". It matches the Rfam family "tRNA". Rfam says of the family: Transfer RNA (tRNA) molecules are approximately 80 nucleotides in length. Their secondary structure includes four short double-helical elements and three loops (D, anti-codon, and T loops). Further hydrogen bonds mediate the characteristic L-shaped molecular structure. tRNAs have two regions of fundamental functional importance: the anti-codon, which is responsible for specific mRNA codon recognition, and the 3' end, to which the tRNAs corresponding amino acid is attached (by aminoacyl-tRNA synthetases). tRNAs cope with the degeneracy of the genetic code in two manners: having more than one tRNA (with a specific anti-codon) for a particular amino acid; and 'wobble' base-pairing, i.e. permitting non-standard base-pairing at the 3rd anti-codon position. The record is from RNAcentral. Lineage: Eukaryota; Rhodophyta; Florideophyceae; Plocamiales; Plocamiaceae.
ACUCGCUUGGUGAAAAAGGUAAACACGAUGGAUUUAAAAUCCAUUCUCAAAUAGAGUUAUUGGUUCAAAUCCAAUAGCGAGUA